UAAUUUGAGAGUUUGAUCCUGGCUCAGGAUGAACGCUGGCGGCGUGCUUAACACAUGCAAGUCGAACGGAGUUAAAAGUAGAAGUUUUCGGAUGGAAGCUUUUAACUUAGUG
This 112-nucleotide non-coding RNA is filed under the name Anaerocolumna xylanovorans DSM 12503. Its description in RNAcentral is "Bacterial small subunit ribosomal RNA". It matches the Rfam family "Bacterial small subunit ribosomal RNA", at positions 1 to 97 of the family's 1533-position model. The record is from Rfam by way of RNAcentral. Lineage: Bacteria; Bacillati; Bacillota; Clostridia; Lachnospirales; Lachnospiraceae.